CCCUUAGAUGUUCUGGGCCGCACGCGCGCUACACUGAUACAUUCAACGAGUAUACAACCUUGGCUGAAAGGCCUGGGUAAUCUUUUGAAACUGUAUCGUGAUGGGGAUAGAUUAUUGCAAUUUUUAAUCUUCAACGAGGAAUUCCUAGUAAACGCAAGUCAUCAGCUUGCAUUGAUUACGUCCCUGCCCUUUGUACACACCGCCCGUCGCUCCUACCGAUUGAGUGAUCCGGUAAAUUGUUCAGACUGCUGCUGUCUCCAGCUUCUGGAGUGGUGGUGGAAAGUUUUGUGAACCUUACCACUUAGAGGAAGGAGAAGUCGUAACA
This 325-nucleotide ribosomal RNA is filed under the name uncultured eukaryote. RNAcentral describes it as "partial 18S ribosomal RNA". It matches the Rfam family "Eukaryotic small subunit ribosomal RNA", at positions 1470 to 1796 of the family's 1831-position model. The record is from RNAcentral.